RNAcentral lists this transfer RNA (71 nucleotides) under Neotoma lepida (desert woodrat). It matches the Rfam family "tRNA". Rfam says of the family: Transfer RNA (tRNA) molecules are approximately 80 nucleotides in length. The record is from Rfam by way of RNAcentral. Lineage: Eukaryota; Metazoa; Chordata; Mammalia; Rodentia; Cricetidae.
GUUAGUGUAGCUCAGAGGUAGAGCACUUGCCAAGUAUGUUUGAGGCUCUAGGUUUGAUUCUUAGCACUACA